Long non-coding RNA from Felis catus (domestic cat), 4723 nucleotides. RefSeq lists it as uncharacterized. The record is from RefSeq and is a predicted model, not a curated record. NCBI's taxonomy places the organism in Eukaryota, Metazoa, Chordata, Mammalia, Carnivora, Felidae. The transcript has 3 exons.
CCUCGCUGAGCUAGACCACGGCUGGGAGUGGGUGGUGGUGGGAAAAAAAAAAAAAAAAAUGCUGCCUUUGCUGCUAUCUCUAAGAAAAGGGGAUAAAUGGUAUGGGCUAGAACCUUGCGGAUCGUGUUUUAAACUUCUCCUGGGGUAUUUACUACGUCCCAGAUCGGAAACGAAACUAACCCACCCCAGCCCCCUUUUUAAGGAAAAACAAUUGCCUCUGUGUGACGGGCAAGUACGAGUCCCGCAGCGCGUGGAGCAGAAAAUGGCUAGCUUUAAGUCAUGCAAAUAAAGGAAAACGGCAGCUCACUGUUCUUCCCUUUCAUCUUGGGACUGCUGGGUGUUCCCUUAGAUGGGGAAUUUAGAACUUCAAAAGCUCCGGAAAGGUUUGGACGAGAAAACCGCGCGACCCAGCUCUGAAUUGUUAUCCGGUGGCGUUAUCAGCCAUGUGCUGCUGCUUUUGCUUUUAGCGGUGAAAAUCACACCACACGAGCUUCGGACACACACAAAAAAAUGAAUCUCUGAAAGGCACAAGACAGUUUGAGUGUGAGAGGCUGUGAAGGUCUCAGGAGCUCCAGGACUUUUCUCCCCUCAAAUCAGCCAUAUUCUUCCCUGGAGAGAUUACCUUGAUCUGAGAGCCAAGAAGAUGACAUUGGAGCUAAGAUUUGAAGGCAAUGUGGAAGUGAGCCAUGUGAAUAUUCUCAGUCUCAGAGAAGAGACUGACAGGCAAGGGGACCAGCCAGGGCAGAGCCCUUGAGGUGAGAGUGUGGCCAAUGUGCUCCAGCGAUAGCCGGAUGGACAGUGAAACUGGAGUGGUAUGAUCAAGGGGGCAAGUAGAACAGGGUGAUGUGAGAGCCAAGAGAGAGCCAAGUACAGGUCAUUGAAGGUCAUUGUAAAGGUUUUGGUUUUACUCUAAAAGAAAUGGGAGGCCAUUGAAGGAUUUUGAAGCAGAGGGGUGAUUUGAUUUGACGUACAUUAAAACGGUAUCACUCUGACUGCUGAGCAAGGGUGGAAUUAGGAAGAAUCAGAGAGACAGUUGGAAAAUUUUUGCAAUAAUGGUGAUACUCAAGGCAGUUGGUAUCAGGGAGGUAGUGGGAGUGCUUCAAUUCUGCAUGUGUUUUAAGGUAGAACCAAAAGAUUUCCUAUUAGACCUCAAGUGGAACGUGAGAAAGAAAGGAGUCAAAACUUGUGGUUCAGUUACUUUCAUUUCAAGAAAUAGUACCUCAGGAAGUAUAUUCAAAUUCAUUUCUUCCCUAUUAGGUCAGACCCAAAGUUCUUAAUUCGGUAAUCUCACAUAUUUAAAAAUAUUGUCCACAGUAAUAAUAAAAACAACACCCUACAAUCUGUUAAGCAUCAAGUCCUUUAAUUCAACUACCUCAUGAGGCAGGUAUUAUUUUCCACUAUUUUUACAUGUGUAAACAGAGAUGUGAUUAAUAACCAACAGCUUAGGACCAACCGGAAACAGCCAAAUAUGCGCCCCUAACCAUUAUGUAGGAUGCCCUGCUUCUAGUUAGCCCAGCUACAUCUUCCUCAUGCCAAUAGCCACAUACCUGAAGCCUUCCUCUUUUUUCACCGUAAAGCUUUCCCACUCCUCUAUCUUUCUUGAGUCUCUGUUAAGACACAAGUGAAGGUGGCUGACUUCCUUGCAAGUUUGAAAUCACUAGCCUUUGCUUAUUCUCAUUUAAUUGGUCUUCAUUUAUUUUUAUUGGGGUCUUAGGUCAGGUUCCCUGGGAAAUGGAUUUUGAGAUCCCGACCUGAGGGUAGGUUUAUUGAGGAGCACUUUCUAGAUCAUCCCCUCUGAAGGGGAUGAUGGGAACAGCACGGGGCAGAGAGAGAAGCUGAACUAUGACACAGUAGUUGCACUACAGCUUUAAUGGAUCUCAUGGGGAGCUCUGAGUCAGGAUGGCGCUUCAGAAAUGUACCCUGGCCUGGAUCAGUUGUUGGAUGUAGCCUACCCUUGGGAAAGGAGAGGAGCCUUAGGUGAAGGAGAUCUCUUUGACCAAAGACAAGUCCAAAGGGAGAUCCUAGCUGUGAACUUUCAGCAGCCAAUACGCUGAGCAGCUGGGGAACAAGUGCUUGGAUCCCCUUCAGAGCAGGGGGAGGGUGGAGAUUAGGUGACCCUACCAAACACACGGCUGGCAGCAGAUCAUGACUCUAAUGUAACUUCGAAUCCAAAUUUAAAGCUUCCUUCACUACAGCAUAGCUGCCUUCACUAAAAAAUAAAUGACGUAUGGAGAUUCUGUGACCAUUUAUUUUCUGUCCUCCUACUCCAAAACCAAGAUCAUAUUUGUAAAGUGAUUCUGAUGUUUUUGGUAAGUGAUUGUGAGCAUAGUGGUUGACUCAACUGAAUGUGGCAUCUAAAAGAUCUGAAAUAAAACCCAACCACACAAAGCAGUUAACUGAAUUGCCACAUAUAGCCAUUUAUAUCAUCUUAAUACUAUGGUACUUUACUAAAUGUUUUUCUCUCUCAGUGGAGUAGAACAUUGUGACACCCAGCUUUCCAGCUUGAGAUGUUGAUAUAUUGAAAAUAAAUUGAUAUGAAAAUAGUAUCAUUCCCACCUUAAGGCUAUUCAUCCCCUAGUGAAAAUUAUUCCACUUUAGUUUAAAUAUUAAUAAAGUACAUCUUAGAAGUCAGUACAAUAUGAAUUUAUUCCUUAAAAGAAUCUAGUUCCCUACAUUAUUUUCAUCACUAAUGUUACAUGGUCAUUGCAGCACUUUUGGCUUUACUUGAGCUAGUUAAACUCAAUGCUUCUUUUUUUGGUUUUACACACAAAUCAGCAGAUACUAUAUCCAGCAAUGGGAAUUUUCCUGAAGAUUAUCAAAAAACAUACACCCAGUUCUGUCUACCAAUUGGUCUGAGUAGUCCCUUUAUUUGAAAAUAAAUCUGUGACUUCUAAAAAAAACUCUGUCAGCAUAUUCUCUCACUAUCACAAGACCUUUUGAAUAUAUUACUCAUUGUUCCCAGAGCUUUUGGAUUUUUUCCCUUUACUGUUUGUCCUGGAAAUUUCCUCAUCCAUACCCUUGCCUUCUCCCUCCCCUAAAAAGGAGUCCCCUCUUGAUUAACAUUGUAUGGGAUCUCAGCCAAAUUGGAAUCCCAGGUAGCUUUUGCUCAUAGCAUAGUAUGGUGGUUCUUAAACUUUGAGUCCUAAGACUUGUUAGGGGAAUCUAUUAAAAUGGAAGAUAUUAGAGAUUCAUCCUAGAUCUAAAGAUUUAGAAUUUCUGGAGGUGACGCUCAGACAACUGUAUAACUGAAUGUUUCUUUGUGGAAUUCCAUUCAGUAUCACGGCCUGAAAAACAGAAGUACAUUUCACAUUUCUAGACACUGAUACGGUUUUCUGGUUGUAGAAUAUCAGGAUGAAAUUGGCAUUUGGAGUCUAUUCUUCUCUAACAUUGUGCAUAUAUAUGUCUAUAGAAGAGGAAAUAACAGGCUGGCUUUCACUAGCAGUAAUCCACUUGUAUAAUAAGGGCUAUCAGAAUAGAAACAUUAUAAAUGUAAAGAAUGGGGGCUGUUUGAGAAAAAUUGCUGUAGAAGAAUUGGAAGGACCUGGUGAUUUCUAGAAUGUUAAAGCAAAAAGAUAGCCAAGGAGUUGAAGGUAUCAUUGGGAAAAUGGCUAUGAUGGAAAUUAUUGAACAAAUAUUAAAUGUAGCACUUGAUGAGGUGAUAGGGAGGCCACAAAGAGAAAAACACAUAACUUAGAUUAUUUCAGAAGGUAUUUCUUGAGUAUCUAUUAUGUGCACAGCAUUGUCCUAAAGGGUACCAAGGCAUGGUUCCCAAAUUUGGCUUUGUAUUAUAUUCAGCUGGGGAGAUUUAAAAAAAUAAAGUGCCUGGACUUCACAUUAGCUCUACUGAAUGUAAAUAUCUGGAGGUGGGAUUGCAAAUCUUCAAUGUGUAAGGCUCCCCAAGUGAUUCUGAUGCAUUCAGUUAAUGGACCAGUUAUUUGGGAAUCACUGUUCCAGAGACCACAAAAAUGAGUGAGGCUGUGCUUUUUGAAAAGACCAUAUAAACUGGUAUGUUGAGUAAUAUACUCUAGCGAGUUUCCUUACUCUGCCUUAUACUCAUGGCUUCUAAGUUUUACUCAGAUGUUUCUUUUCUCUGAAAUGCCUUUUCCUCAUCUCUGGCAUGAAAAUAUUAUCCGUCCUUCAAGAUCCGUUCAAGUGUGAGAAUUGGGGCCAUAUUCCCUAUCACCACCCUUCCAACCCCACAUCCAUUGCACAACCCAGUGUCGUAGAACCUAUCCUUACAAUGUCUACUUCACCCCUCAUCUCCUUUCCAUCCUCAUCUCCCCAUCCUUCACUCACCUGAACCACUGAAUGGCCUUUUAACUCAUCCCUCACAUCCCUUCUGUUCUCCUAAAGCCAAUGUGUUCUUUAUGGUUCUAUUAAUCUUAAACAGUUCAAUUAUAACUUUUUCAUAUUGCAGAUAAAGUUUACAAUUUCCCCAUUACCUACACAAUUAGGGAUAAAAACGCUCCAGUCGAGCAUUCAAAACUUCUGUAUCAAUUAAAAUUUCUUUUGUCAUAAGCAACAGAACCAACUCUGACAAACUUCAGCAGAAAAGGUAUAGAGUAGUUCAAAUAGUUAAAAUAGAAGUUUCAAAUCAUUUGUCUUUUUUAUAUUAUUCUUCUCAAAAUGCUCAUUCUCAUUCUUAUUUUAUUUAUUUUAUUUUAUUUUAUUUUAUUUUUUAAGUAGGCUUCACACCCAGUGUGGAGCCCAAUUCAGGACUUGA